GCAGUCGACGGCAGCACGGGGGCAACCCUGGUGGCGAGUGGCGAACGGGUGAGUAAUACAUCGGAACGUGUCCUGUAGUGGGGGAUAGCCCGGCGAAAGCCGGAUUAAUACCGCAUACGAUCUACGGAAGAAAGCGGGGGAUCGCAAGACCUCGCGCUAUAGGGGCGGCCGAUGGCAGAUUAGCUAGUUGGUGGGGUAAAGGCCUACCAAGGCGACGAUCUGUAGCUGGUCUGAGAGGACGACCAGCCACACUGGGACUGAGACACGGCCCAGACUCCUACGGGAGGCAGCAGUGGGGAAUUUUGGACAAUGGGGGAAACCCUGAUCCAGCAAUGCCGCGUGUGUGAAGAAGGCCUUCGGGUUGUAAAGCACUUUUGUCCGGAAAGAAAACUUCUGCCCUAAUACGGUGGGAGGAUGACGGUACCGGAAGAAUAAGCACCGGCUAACUACGUGCCAGCAGCCGCGGUAAUACGUAGGGUGCGAGCGUUAAUCGGAAUUACUGGGCGUAAAGCGUGCGCAGGCGGUUCGUUAAGACAGAUGUGAAAUCCCCGGGCUUAACCUGGGAACUGCAUUUGUGACUGGCGAGCUAGAGUAUGGCAGAGGGGGGUAGAAUUCCACGUGUAGCAGUGAAAUGCGUAGAGAUGUGGAGGAAUACCGAUGGCGAAGGCAGCCCCCUGGGCCAAUACUGACGCUCAUGCACGAAAGCGUGGGGAGCAANCAGGAUUAGAUACCCUGGUAGUCCACGCCCUAANCGAUGUCAACUAGUUGUUGGGGAUUCAUUUCCUUAGUAACGUAGCUAACGCGUGAAGUUGACCGCCUGGGGAGUACGGUCGCAAGAUUAAAACUCAANGGAAUUGACGGGGACCCGCACAAGCGGUGGAUGAUGUGGAUUAAUUCGAUGCAACGCGAAAAACCUUACCUACCCUUGACAUGGUCGGAACCCUGCUGAAAGGUGGGGGUGCUCGAAAGAGAACCGAUACACAGGUGCUGCAUGGCUGUCGUCAGCUCGUGUCGUGAGAUGUUGGGUUAAGUCCCGCAACGAGCGCAACCCUUGUCCUUAGUUGCUACGCAAGAGCACUCUAAGGNNACUGCCGGUGACAAACCGGAAGAAAGGGGGG
This 1118-nucleotide ribosomal RNA is filed under the name Burkholderiaceae bacterium. Its description in RNAcentral is "bacterial SSU rRNA". It matches the Rfam family "Bacterial small subunit ribosomal RNA", at positions 57 to 1178 of the family's 1533-position model. The record is from RNAcentral. Lineage: Bacteria; Pseudomonadati; Pseudomonadota; Betaproteobacteria; Burkholderiales; Burkholderiaceae.